Molecule: ribosomal RNA, 253 nt
Filed under: uncultured bacterium
Lineage: Bacteria
Description: partial 16S ribosomal RNA
Rfam family: Bacterial small subunit ribosomal RNA
Source: RNAcentral
UACGGAGGGUGCGAGCGUUAAUCGGAAUAACUGGGCGUAAAGGGCCCGCAGGCGGGCUUUUAAGUGAGGUGUGAAAUCCCCGGGCUUAACCUGGGAAUAGCAUUUCAGACUGGGAGUCUAGAGUACUUUAGGGGCGGGUAGAAUUCCACGUGUAGCGGUGAAAUGCGUAGAGAUGUGGAGGAAUACCGAAGGCGAAGGCAGCCGCUUGGGAAGGUACUGACGCUCAUGUGCGAAAGCGUGGGGAGCAAACAGG